Molecule: long non-coding RNA, 656 nt
Filed under: Salmo salar (Atlantic salmon)
Lineage: Eukaryota; Metazoa; Chordata; Actinopteri; Salmoniformes; Salmonidae
Description: lncRNA (ENSSSAG00000092931.1)
Source: RNAcentral
GAUGUAAAGCAACCAGGUGGUUUAAUACCAGCAGCAUUAACAGGAUGUAAAGUAACCAGGUGGUUUAAUACCAGCAGCAUUAACAGGAUGUAAAGUAACCAGGUGGUUUAAUACCAGCAGCAUUAACAGGAUGUAAAGCAACCAGGUGGUUUAAUACCAGCAGCAUUAACAGGAUGUAAAGCAACCAGGUGGUUUAAUACCAGCAGCAUUAACAGGAUGUAAAGCAACCAGGUUUAAUACCAGGAGCAUUAACAGGAUGUAAAGCAACCAGGUGGUUUAAUACCAGCAGCAUUAACAGGAUGUAAAGCAACCAGGUGGUUUAAUACCAGCAGCAUUAACAGGAUGUAAAGCAACCAGGUGGUUUAAUACCAGCAGCAUUAACAGGAUGUAAAGUAACCAGGUGGUUUAAUACCAGCAGCAUUAACAGGAUGUAAAGCAACCAGGUGGUUUAAUACCAGCAGCAUUAACAGGAUGUAAAGCAACCAGGUGGUUUAAUACCAGCAGCAUUAACAGGAUGUAAAGCAACCAGGUGGUUUAAUACCAGCAGCAUUAACAGGAUGUAAAGCAACCAGGUGGUUUAAUACCAGCAGCAUUAACAGGAUGUAAACCUUCUGUAUUAACACUGUGUUAAGUAGUGGUGACGCCGCGUUAAGUAG